Molecule: ribosomal RNA, 497 nt
Filed under: uncultured bacterium
Lineage: Bacteria
Description: partial 16S ribosomal RNA
Rfam family: Bacterial small subunit ribosomal RNA
Source: RNAcentral
GAUGAACGCUGGCGGCGUGCCUAAUACAUGCAAGUCGAGCGAACAGACGAGGAGCUUGCUCCUCUGACGUUAGCGGCGGACGGGUGAGUAACACGUGGAUAACCUACCUAUAAGACUGGGAUAACUUCGGGAAACCGGAGCUAAUACCGGAUAAUAUAUUGAACCGCAUGGUUCAAUAGUGAAAGACGGUUUUGCUGUCACUUAUAGAUGGAUCCGCGCCGCAUUAGCUAGUUGGUAAGGUAACGGCUUACCAAGGCAACGAUGCGUAGCCGACCUGAGAGGGUGAUCGGCCACACUGGAGCUGAGACACGGUCCAGGCUCCUACGGGAGGCAGCAGUAGGGAAUCUUCCGCAGUGGGCGAAAGCCUGACGGAGCAACGCCGCGUGAGUGAUGAAGGUCUUCGGAUCGUAAAACUCUGUUAUUAGGGAAGAACAAAUGUGUCAGUAACUAUGCACGUCUUGACGGUACCUAAUCAGAAAGCCACGGCUAACUACGUG